RNAcentral lists this ribosomal RNA (444 nucleotides) under uncultured bacterium. RNAcentral describes it as "partial 16S ribosomal RNA". It matches the Rfam family "Bacterial small subunit ribosomal RNA", at positions 355 to 788 of the family's 1533-position model. The record is from RNAcentral.
UGGGGAAUUUUGGACAAUGGGCGAAAGCCUGAUCCAGCAAUGCCGCGUGUGUGAAGAAGGCCUUCGGGUUGUAAAGCACUUUUGUCCGGAAAGAAAUCCUUGGCUCUAAUACAGUCGGGGGAUGACGGUACCGGAAGAAUAAGCACCGGCUAACUACGUGCCAGCAGCCGCGGUAAUACGUAGGGUGCAAGCGUUAAUCGGAAUUACUGGGCGUAAAGCGUGCGCAGGCGGUUUGCUAAGACCGAUGUGAAAUCCCCGGGCUCAACCUGGGAACUGCAUUGGUGACUGGCAGGCUAGAGUAUGGCAGGAGGGGGGUAGAAUUCCACGUGUAGCAGUGAAAUGCGUAGAGAUGUGGAGGAAUACCGAUGGCGAAGGCAGCCCCCUGGGCCAAUACUGACGCUCAUGCACGAAAAGCGUGGGGAGCAAAACAGGAUUAGAUACCCU